Molecule: non-coding RNA, 28 nt
Filed under: Mus musculus (house mouse)
Lineage: Eukaryota; Metazoa; Chordata; Mammalia; Rodentia; Muridae
Source: RNAcentral
UGUCAGUCAGUCAGUUUCAGGGCUACAA